Molecule: long non-coding RNA, 1219 nt
Organism: Pectinophora gossypiella (pink bollworm)
Lineage: Eukaryota; Metazoa; Arthropoda; Insecta; Lepidoptera; Gelechiidae
Exons: 3
Source: RefSeq, a predicted model, not a curated record
UGAAGUUCUCUUGAUCUUUUCCUGUGCUACUUAUUUUCUAUUUUGUUACAAUUUGUAGCUUACAAGUUCAUCGAAUCGAGCCCUACUUCCUCGUUUUUGUGUCGACAUUCUACUGUAAAAACUUCCAGAACCAUUAUGUAUUUUGGAAAGAGCUGAUAUGAUAAAAAGUUUGUUCAUAAUGUGCGUUGAUAAAUUGUAAUGUGUUAAAUGCUGAUCGACUUUGUCAUACUAACUCAUACUCGUACCUACUAAGAGAUGCAAGCAACAAUAACAAGCUCUUGAAGAAUGUUCCAGUCGGAGAGUUGGAAACAAUUGUGUCUGUAUAAGUUGUGGAAUAUCUUUGGACAGGCACUCAAGAACACAAAAUCAUAGGCUUAUGGAAAAAAGUGAUAAGUGGUAUUAUAUAGAAAAACAAAUAUCUCUGAGACAGAUGCCUGAUGGAUGCUUGGAUUAGAGAUGGAUGGUUGUUUGCAGGAUGAGCUCACAUCAAAAGCAUUAAUAUCUAGUGAACAGUAAAGCUGUGUUAAGUGUGCCGUUGCAUAUUAUAUAGUUAGUAGCUAUUUAUGUUCAUAGAUGGUGUUCAAACUACAUAUGAGCUUAAAUCAUUUUAAAUUAUCAUAUCAUUAAAUAGAUAAAAAAUAACAAUGUAUAUUUUAAUGUUAUUGUUAAGUUUUUCUAUACCUACUUACUAAUAAUGUAACCAUACAUCUCAUCAUCUCCUAUCAUGUAGAUUGUAAAGUGGAUGGCCAACCUCAUCGACCCUGUUACAGGGUUAUUACUGAGCCACUAAAGUCUCCUGACAUGGUUUAUGUAACAACUAUGUAUUUACAUUAGUAAGUAGUAACCGGGACCAACAGCUUUACAUGCCAUCCGAAGGAUCACAAAGUAAUUUUUGUGAUAUGUCCACACCGGGUUCGAACUCUGGAUUGUGAGCCCAUUAGUCAACCACUCUGUAUCACAGAGGCCGAGAGUACUUGGUUAAAUUUAUGUUUUAUUUGAACAAUUACACGUUACGCUGUUGGUCCCGGUUACUACUUACUGAUGUAAGUAAGUAGUCGUUACAUGAGUCAUGUCAGGGGCCUUUGGCGGCUCAAUAGUAACCCUGACACCAGGGUUGAUGAGGUUGGUACGUCACCUCACAACCCACACGAUAAGAAGAAGAUUUGAACAAUUUGAUUAAUUGUAGAAAUAUUUUGUAUGAGUUGCACCUAUGACAUUA